CGCUUCAGAGCAUGAACACACUCCUAUGGGCAGACGAAGAGUUGUGAUUUUGAGACACCAGGGCAGCCAUGACUGUCAGGCACACAAUUAAGCAUCUGGCUUACCAACCCCUGCGCACUAGAAACAAACAUAUGCAGCAGAAAUGGGACAAGGCUUCAUAUGAAUUACACAGAGGAAAGGUGAGGUCAGCCAAACCAACAAUAAACACAACUCCACAAGAGACCUAUCGUCACCUUGUCAACAAACUGAAGACGAAAAAGG
Notothenia coriiceps (black rockcod) is the source of this 261-nucleotide long non-coding RNA. RefSeq lists it as uncharacterized. The record is from RefSeq and is a predicted model, not a curated record. The transcript is spliced from 3 exons. NCBI's taxonomy places the organism in Eukaryota, Metazoa, Chordata, Actinopteri, Perciformes, Nototheniidae.